This 355-nucleotide ribosomal RNA is filed under the name uncultured Glomus. RNAcentral's name for it is "eukaryotic LSU rRNA". The record is from RNAcentral. Lineage: Eukaryota; Fungi; Glomeromycota; Glomeromycetes; Glomerales; Glomeraceae.
CAGUCGUACCGGCCGGUAAAUCCAACCCAUCUGGGUGCGAUCCAUGUUGGGGUGCUGAGGGAGCCUAAACCCGCCUUUUUCGCUUCGCGGUGUUUGUGCCUGGUGGGUGAACUUAUUUCGCCAUGGGUAGGUUUAACAUCAAAUUUCGGUUCGUCAUAAAAAUGACGGGGAGGAAUGUAGCUUUGAUCUCGGUAUUAAAAGUGUUAUAGCCCUCUGGUAGAUGUGAUGAUCGGAAUUGAGGAUUGCAACGAAACCCUCUGGGGCCACUCGUCUGGGCCUCUGGUGGUCGCUCUGGUUCCGAAAACUUGCUUACGGUUGUCAGAGUUUGGUUGCCAAAAGGUUAGAACGGGAUAAA